UACGGGGGGGGCAAGCGUUGUUCGGAAUUACUGGGCGUAAAGGGCGUGAAGGCGGCCAACUAAGUCGGAUGUGAAAUCCCCAGGCUCAACCUGGGAACUGCAUCCGAUACUGGAUGGCUUGAAUUCGGGAGAGGGAUGCAGAAUUCCAGGUGUAGCGGUGAAAUGCGUAGAUAUCUGGAGGAAUACCGGUGGCGAAGGCGGCAUCCUGGACCGACAUUGACGCUGUGGCGCGAAAGCUAGGGGAGCAAACGGG
This 253-nucleotide ribosomal RNA is filed under the name uncultured bacterium. RNAcentral describes it as "partial 16S ribosomal RNA". It matches the Rfam family "Bacterial small subunit ribosomal RNA", at positions 524 to 776 of the family's 1533-position model. The record is from RNAcentral.